This 765-nucleotide ribosomal RNA is filed under the name Triticum aestivum (bread wheat). RNAcentral describes it as "partial small subunit ribosomal RNA". Lineage: Eukaryota; Viridiplantae; Streptophyta; Magnoliopsida; Poales; Poaceae. The record is from RNAcentral.
AUGGAGGCCAGUUCUAGCACUGCUCUCUAUCCUCAGCGCCGCUGCAAAAACAUCUACCUGGUGAGGCAUGCUCAGGGCAUACAUAAUGUGGAGGGCGACAAGGAUCAUAGCGCCUACAAGUCGCCUGCGCUGGUCGAUGCUCACAUCACCCCUUUGGGCUGGAGCCAAGUUGAUUACCUGCGAGAGCAUGUGACAGAAUGUGGAUUGGCGAAAAAGAUUGAGUUGGUUAUUGUUUCCCCUCUAAUGAGGACUAUGCAGACUGCAGUGGGGGUCUUCGGUGGUGAGAGCUGUACUGAUGGAGAAAGUGCAUCACCAUUGAUGGUAGAAGGAGCUGGACACAGUGGACGUCAGGCGAUUUCAAGUUUCAAUUGCCCACCGUUUCUUGCAGUCGAGGCCUGCAGAGAGCGCUUGGGUGUUCAUCCCUGUGACAAGAGGAGCAGCAUAACAAAAUAUCGCACUCUCUUUCCUGCCAUUGAUUUUUCCCUGAUAGAGAAUGACGAAGAUGUUCUUUGGGAACCCAAUGUCAGAGAAGCAAUUGACACUGUUGCUGCUAGGGGCAUGAAGUUCCUUGACUGGUUAUGGACAAGAGAAGAAAAUGAGAUAGCCAUUGUCACCCAUAGUAGCUUCUUAGAUUUCACUUUAAACAUGUACAGUAAAGAGUGUCAUCCAACCAUAGCAGAGGAUAUGCGCAAGCGCUUUGCGAACUGCGAGCUCAGGUCGAUGGUGCUGGUCGACAGAAGGUCAGUUCUUGUUUUGCUUCAAUGA